UACGUAGGGGGCUAGCGUUGUCCGGAAUUACUGGGCGUAAAGGGUUCGCAGGCGGAAAUACAAGUCAGGUGUAAAAGGCGGAGGCUUAACCUCCGUAAGCAUUUGAAACUGUAUUUCUUGAGAUAUGGAGAGGCAAGUGGAAUUCCUAGUGUAGCGGUGAAAUGCGUAGAUAUUAGGAGGAAUACCAGUGGCGAAGGCGACUUGCUGGACAUAUACUGACGCUGAGGAACGAAAGCAUGGGUAGCAAACAGG
This 252-nucleotide ribosomal RNA is filed under the name uncultured bacterium. RNAcentral describes it as "partial 16S ribosomal RNA". It matches the Rfam family "Bacterial small subunit ribosomal RNA", at positions 524 to 776 of the family's 1533-position model. The record is from RNAcentral.